RNAcentral lists this ribosomal RNA (261 nucleotides) under Salmonella enterica subsp. enterica serovar Anatum. RNAcentral's name for it is "partial 16S ribosomal RNA". It matches the Rfam family "Bacterial small subunit ribosomal RNA", at positions 997 to 1258 of the family's 1533-position model. The record is from RNAcentral. Lineage: Bacteria; Pseudomonadati; Pseudomonadota; Gammaproteobacteria; Enterobacterales; Enterobacteriaceae.
AAUCCAGAGAUGGAUUUGUGCCUUCGGGAACUGUGAGACAGGUGCUGCAUGGCUGUCGUCAGCUCGUGUUGUGAAAUGUUGGGUUAAGUCCCGCAACGAGCGCAACCCUUAUCCUUUGUUGCCAGCGGUUAGGCCGGGAACUCAAAGGAGACUGCCAGUGAUAAACUGGAGGAAGGUGGGGAUGACGUCAAGUCAUCAUGGCCCUUACGACCAGGGCUACACACGUGCUACAAUGGCGCAUACAAAGAGAAGCGACCUCGC